Molecule: transfer RNA, 89 nt
Filed under: Lingula anatina
Lineage: Eukaryota; Metazoa; Brachiopoda; Lingulata; Lingulida; Lingulidae
Rfam family: tRNA
About the family: Transfer RNA (tRNA) molecules are approximately 80 nucleotides in length.
Source: Rfam by way of RNAcentral
CUCGCGAUAGCUCAGUUGGUAGAGCGGAGGACUGUAGUGGAAAUAUAUAAGAUAUCCUUAGGUCGCUGGUUCAAAUCCGGCUCGCGAGA